GCCGAGGUGGCUUAGUCUGGUUAUAGCGCUCGGCUCAUACGGAUAUUCCCAAGGUUUCUCCUUGGGUCCUGGGAAACCGAGAGGUCGAGGGUUCAAAUCCCUCCCUCGGCACCA
This 114-nucleotide transfer RNA is filed under the name Methanofervidicoccus abyssi. RNAcentral's name for it is "tRNA-Met". It matches the Rfam family "tRNA". Rfam says of the family: Transfer RNA (tRNA) molecules are approximately 80 nucleotides in length. Lineage: Archaea; Methanobacteriati; Methanobacteriota; Methanococci; Methanococcales. The record is from RNAcentral.